GCAAAAAGGGGUUUGGCAUUUAAAUAUUUAAAUAAAAAUUUGAAAUAGAUUCAAACUGAAAUAGUCAUGUUUCAGUUAUUUUACCUCUCAGUCAUUUAGUAAGAACCAAAAACUCAAUUAUUAAAGGCUUCAAAAGAGGGAAAAAGAGAAAAUCACUUUAUUACCAAAUAAUCUCAGCAAAUGUGGCGCUCCAUACACCUGGGACAUGGGUGCAUCCGGGUGAUCGGCGAGGAUUUCUGCAUACUGUGGUCUCUCAAAUUUGUAGAGGAGCUGAGUGCCCAGCAUGACAUUGAAGUACUCCUUUAUCCCUGCCACCACCUCAUUAACAGCGUACUCCCUAAAGACAGACGAAAAUAUCACUUUCAAAACAUUUCCCUUCUGAGCAAAGGAAAGGUAAAGAACUAUGGCCAAGACUUUUUUAAUAAUUAAAAUCAAUUUCAAAAUUGUAUAAAAAUAAGGCGGCAUUUAUGACAAGGUUUCUUUGUGUAACCUUGGCUGUCCUGAAACUUACUCUAUAGACCAGCCUCAUAGAGAUCCUCCUACCUCAGCCUCGAGUGCUGGGAUUAACGGCAUGCACAGCACCACCACCACCAGCCUCAAGAUAGUAAACCUUUUAACGACUGUAAAGCACCUACAGCAUACCUUCAGUUAUACCUAAAAAGGUGUAUACUCAAAAAGAGUACAUUCUUACUUAUUAUCUGUAUUUCCUCGAGACUUCUUAUAAUUUGCAUAAUCCUCCAAAAUGGAAUCCACAUUCUUCUUGGCAGGAAGAUAAAAAAGCUAGGGAAAAAAUUUGAAUACAAAUGUUUAUAAAAAUUACAUUCAUUCCAAAAUAAGAUGAGGCACAGAAUACCUGAUAGAUAAGUGGGUUCAAGAUUACAGAUACUAUGCAGAGAGAUGCACUUGUAUAAGCCAACCAAAGAACAUCAACCAAAUUCCAAUUACAACUAUGAAAUCUCAGAUUUCAUGAAUCUUUUAACAAUUAUUAUUAUUCUCAUCCCCAUCAUUCCCACUGCAUCUGUCAUUUGUCAAUUUAAAUAGUUUGUCUCAAGUUCCUAAACUUGGACUUAGAGAACCCAACUCUUAAGUAACAUUCAAGUUUUUGUGGGUUGUUGUGAAACCAGUUUCUUUAGAUUUUGAACAUGUCCCUUCAGAGGGGAGAAGAGAGGGUAAGACUAAGUAAUCAAUCAGUGAACAAGACCCAGAAAGCUGACAUUUGAAUGAUCCACAGGGUGUCCCAACACCCAAGAUGGAGCUCCAGGGACGCAACAUUCACAUUCAUUGCUGAGUCAUCAUUUACUUAGGGGUGGGCUUUUCAGUGGCAUACUUACUUCUGAAACCCAUCAUCCAUCUGUAAACACCAAACCUCACUGGUUUGCCAAGCAGUUCUGCUGCUGGCAUCUGUUCUAUCUUAGGGAAGGUCACUUUUUUAAACAACAUUCUGCAAGUGAUUCAUUAAACCUAAGGACCUUAAUUACAUUCAGGAUCA
This 1489-nucleotide long non-coding RNA is filed under the name Mus pahari (shrew mouse). RNAcentral describes it as "lncRNA (MGP_PahariEiJ_G0004296.1)". The record is from RNAcentral. Lineage: Eukaryota; Metazoa; Chordata; Mammalia; Rodentia; Muridae.